AUUACUGACACUGAGAAGCGAAAGCAUGGGUAGCGAACAGGAUUAGAUACCCUGGUAGUCCAUGCCGUAAACGUUGGGCACUAGGUGUGGGGGACAUUCCACGUUUUCCGCGCCGUAGCUAACGCAUUAAGUGCCCCGCCUGGGGAGUACGGCCGCAAGGCUAAAACUCAAAGGAAUUGACGGGGGCCCGCACAAGCGGCGGAGCAUGCUGAUUAAUUCGAUGCAACGCGAAGAACCUUACCAAGGCUUGACAUGCACUGGACGGCUGCAGAGAUGUGGCUUUCUUUGGACUGGUGCACAGGUGGUGCAUGGUUGUCGUCAGCUCGUGUCGUGAGAUGUUGGGUUAAGUCCCGCAACGAGCGCAACCCUCGUUCUAUGUUGCCAGCACGUGAUGGUGGGGACUCAUAGGAGACUGCCGGGGUCAACUCGGAGGAAGGUGGGGACGACGUCAAAUCAUCAUGCCCCUUAUGUCUUGGGCUUCAAGCAUGCUACAAUGGUCGGUACAAUGGGUUGCGAAACUGUGAGGUGGAGCGAAUCCCAAAAAGCCGGCCUCAGUUCGGAUUGGGGUCUGCAACUCGACCCCAUGAAGUCGGAGUCGCUAGUAAUCGCAGAUCAGCAACGCUGCGGUGAAUACGUUCCCGGGCCUUGUACACACCGCCCGUCAAGUCACGAAAGUCGGUAACACCCGAAG
Molecule: ribosomal RNA, 691 nt
Filed under: Brachybacterium paraconglomeratum
Lineage: Bacteria; Bacillati; Actinomycetota; Actinomycetes; Micrococcales; Dermabacteraceae
Description: bacterial SSU rRNA
Rfam family: Bacterial small subunit ribosomal RNA
Source: RNAcentral